GAAGGUAUAGCUCAGCAACAGGAUAUGUGCUUAGCAUGCAUGAGGUCCUGGGUUCAAUCCCCAGUACCUCCA
This 72-nucleotide transfer RNA is filed under the name Camelus bactrianus (Bactrian camel). It matches the Rfam family "tRNA". Rfam says of the family: Transfer RNA (tRNA) molecules are approximately 80 nucleotides in length. Lineage: Eukaryota; Metazoa; Chordata; Mammalia; Artiodactyla; Camelidae. RNAcentral also lists the same sequence under 2 other names. The record is from Rfam by way of RNAcentral.